Molecule: long non-coding RNA, 1266 nt
Organism: Gallus gallus (chicken)
Lineage: Eukaryota; Metazoa; Chordata; Aves; Galliformes; Phasianidae
Source: Ensembl
ACCUUUCUGUCUCUAGCAUUCAGGUGUUUGCAACGUGCUUGCAGCAGGUACUGCUGAAAAUAGGAUGUGCUUGCUCUAUAGCCACACAGCCAUGCUUGGGAGUGCCUACCAACAUAUUUGCUAAUUUUACAUUUGCAGUGUAACAACGUGCUGUCCCAUAUGUUGCUGUCCCAUCUGUGAGCCUUGCAGUUUGUGUAAAGAAUGGAGGUAGAGGUGUGAAGUUGUACUGCCCCAUUCUGCAGCUGAAAAGUGAAAGUACAGAAGGAUGGAAGAGCUUGCUGAAGGUCACAGUGCAGAGCCCUGAUUUCUCCUGUUAAGUCUUCAGGUUCCUGAAGUGGUAGUGGAAACUGUACUGUGGCCAGAGCUUUUUUCCUUCUUUCUCCUUCCCCUGCACCUCAGAAGGGGGGCUGGUCUGCAGGAAAAGCCCAAGGAAGAAUGGACAUUUGAACCCAGAAGGAGGGAGAUGUCUACACUUGAAGUGUGCUUAGUCACCUAAAGCAGAUGGUGUUGUUUCUGGCUCCUGAUGGGAUGACUUUCAGCUCCCAAAAGCCUUUCAAGUUUGACCAGGCAGACAUGUUUGGAAGAAUGUCAUAUGGGCACACAUCUGUCCAAGGUUCUUUACCAAACAGCGACAUGAGUACAAUUAAAUUAACAAAGGAAGAGUUCACAAUUACAGCUGGAGCAAGUGUAUGGCUUGCUUUCAAAGAUCUGCUUGAAUACUGUUCUCAUAAAAUGCACUCAGGAAGAAGUGCUUUGGACACUGGUUGUGCUAACAGAGAGGUCUGCUUCCUGGAACUGAAGAUGUCUCCUGGAACCACACCUGGAACAUUUGGAAACUUGGAUUUGCCUGGGGUUAGUUGCAGCUGAAAUUUCAGCUCCGUUAACAUCUAAAGUAUUAAAUAUCUUCCCUUCUUGCGCUGGACCUUUUAUCUUGGAGAUGGUCUUCAAUGAUGCAGAUGAAACAAAGCAUGGCAAAAGUGAGCUGACCACCUGCAAGUGGAUGGGAAAGGGCCUCCAGCAUGCUGGAUUCCACUUCAAGACAGGGUGCUAACCCUCCUUGCAGCUGCUUUGGGCAUGUUUGCCUGUCUGGUAGCACUUUCUUCGGCUCUCUGCAAGCUGCGCCGUUCCAGGAACUUCUGCACUUUCCUUUUGGUGUGGUUUUCUUUCUCUGCAUGCAUCAAGCCAAGGAAGCGACGGCUUGCAGAGAAGGUGCUAGCAAACCUGGCUCUUACUCCCUGUGCAUUUUUAAAAAAUGAGAACAUCCUU